Molecule: ribosomal RNA, 785 nt
Filed under: Melanelia stygia
Lineage: Eukaryota; Fungi; Ascomycota; Lecanoromycetes; Lecanorales; Parmeliaceae
Description: eukaryotic LSU rRNA
Rfam family: Eukaryotic large subunit ribosomal RNA
Source: RNAcentral
GGGAUUGCCUCAGUAACGGCGAGUGAAGCGGCAACAGCUCAAAUUUGAAAUCUGGCCCCUUCGGGGUCCGAGUUGUAAUUUGUAGAGAGUGCUUCGGGUGAGACUGCGGUCUAAGUCCAUUGGAACAUGGCGUCAUAGAGGGUGAGAAUCCCGUAUGUGACCGUGGCUCGAGCCCAUGUGAAGCCUCUUCGACGAGUCGAGUUGUUUGGGAAUGCAGCUCAAAAUGGGUGGUAUAUUUCAUCUAAAGCUAAAUACUGGCUGGAGACCGAUAGCGCACAAGUAGAGUGAUCGAAAGAUGAAAAGCACUUUGGAAAGAGAGUCAAACAGUACGUGAAAUUGUUGAAAGGGAAGCGCUUGCAACCAGACCCGCCCGUAGGCGAUCAGCCGCUGUUCUCAGUGGUGCACUCGCUCUGCGAUCAGGCCAGCAUCGGUUCUGGCGGCCGGAUAAAGGCCUUGGGAAUGUAGCUCCCUCCGGGGAGUCUUAUAGCCCUCGGUGCAAUGCGGCCAGCCGGGACCGAGGACCGCGCUUCGGCUAGGAUGCUGGCGUAAUGGUUGUAAGCGACCCGUCUUGAAACACGGACCAAGGAGUCUAACAUCUAUGCGAGUGUUUGGGUGUCAAACCCAUGCGCGGAAUGAAAGUGAACGGAGGUGAGAACCCUUAAGGGCGCAUCAUCGACCGAUCCAGAUGUCUUCGGAUGGAUUUGAGUAUGAGCAUAGCUAUUGGGACCCGAAAGAUGAUGAACUAUGCCUGAAUAGGGUGAAGCCAGAGGAAACUCUGGUGGAGG